Molecule: small RNA, 236 nt
Filed under: Nostoc calcicola
Lineage: Bacteria; Bacillati; Cyanobacteriota; Cyanophyceae; Nostocales; Nostocaceae
Description: c-di-AMP sequence
Rfam family: c-di-AMP riboswitch aptamer (ydaO/yuaA leader)
About the family: This family represents a conserved RNA structure found upstream of the ydaO and yuaA genes in Bacillus subtilis and related genes in other bacteria. The ydaO/yuaA element is thought to act as a genetic "off" switch for the ydaO and yuaA genes in its native state. It is believed that the element may be triggered during osmotic shock leading to activation of ydaO, a predicted amino acid transporter gene, and members of the yuaA-yubG operon which code for KtrA and KtrB K+ transporters.
Source: RNAcentral
UAAAUCAGUCUGCCUAAUCCACCUGAUUACCUAAAAACUUUUGUAAACGGUAAACCGGAGCGGAGGAACCAAUUCUGGGGCGUAUCUUGCACAAAGUGAAAAGUUAAGAGUGAAGAGUUAAAAAUUACUAAAUAAAUAACUCAUAACUCAUCACUCACAACUCAUAACUUUUUUAAGAAGGACAUCUCUCAGUCCUAGCCCGUCAGCUAACUUCGUCGGCAUUGAGAGGAGACUGA